RNAcentral lists this ribosomal RNA (2915 nucleotides) under Vibrio parahaemolyticus. RNAcentral's name for it is "23S ribosomal RNA". It matches the Rfam family "Bacterial large subunit ribosomal RNA". Lineage: Bacteria; Pseudomonadati; Pseudomonadota; Gammaproteobacteria; Vibrionales; Vibrionaceae. The record is from RNAcentral.
GUUGUAUGGUUAAGUGACUAAGCGUACACGGUGGAUGCCUUGGCAGUCAGAGGCGAUGAAAGACGUAGUAACUUGCGAUAAGCCCAGAUUAGGUAGUAACAACCAUUUGAGUCUGGGAUUUCUGAAUGGGGAAACCCACGUGCAUAAGCACGUAUCCUUACCUGAAUACAUAGGGUAAGGAGGCGAACCGGGGGAACUGAAACAUCUAAGUACCCCGAGGAAAAGAAAUCAACCGAGAUUCCGAAAGUAGCGGCGAGCGAAAUUGGACUAGCCCUUAAGCUUUACACGCGUUAGACGAACGGUCUGGAAAGUCCGACGAUACAGGGUGAUAGUCCCGUAGUUGACGACGUGUGUUCAGUGAAAUCGAGUAGGGCGGGACACGUGAUAUCCUGUCUGAAUAUGGGGGGACCAUCCUCCAAGGCUAAAUACUACUGACUGACCGAUAGUGAACCAGUACCGUGAGGGAAAGGCGAAAAGAACCCCUGUGAGGGGAGUGAAAUAGAACCUGAAACCGUGUACGUACAAGCAGUAGGAGCAGGCUUGUCCUGUGACUGCGUACCUUUUGUAUAAUGGGUCAGCGACUUAUAUUCAGUGGCAAGGUUAACCAUCUAGGGGAGCCGUAGGGAAACCGAGUCUUAACUGGGCGUUCAGUCUCUGGAUAUAGACCCGAAACCAGGUGAUCUAGCCAUGGGCAGGUUGAAGGUUGAGUAACAUCAACUGGAGGACCGAACCGACUAAUGUUGAAAAAUUAGCGGAUGACUUGUGGCUAGGGGUGAAAGGCCAAUCAAACCUGGAGAUAGCUGGUUCUCCCCGAAAGCUAUUUAGGUAGCGCCUCGGACGAAUACUACUGGGGGUAGAGCACUGUUAAGGCUAGGGGGUCAUCCCGACUUACCAACCCUUUGCAAACUCCGAAUACCAGUAAGUACUAUCCGGGAGACACACGGCGGGUGCUAACGUCCGUCGUGGAGAGGGAAACAACCCAGACCGCCAGCUAAGGUCCCAAAUUACUACUAAGUGGGAAACGAUGUGGGAAGGCUCAGACAGCCAGGAUGUUGGCUUAGAAGCAGCCAUCAUUUAAAGAAAGCGUAAUAGCUCACUGGUCGAGUCGGCCUGCGCGGAAGAUGUAACGGGGCUAAGUAGUAAACCGAAGCUGCGGCAAUAUACUUUUGUAUAUUGGGUAGGGGAGCGUUCUGUAAGCGGUUGAAGGUGUGUGGUAACGCAUGCUGGACGUAUCAGAAGUGCGAAUGCUGACAUGAGUAACGAUAAAGGGGGUGAAAAACCUCCUCGCCGGAAGACCAAGGGUUCCUGUCCAACGUUAAUCGGGGCAGGGUAAGUCGACCCCUAAGGCGAGGCCGAAAGGCGUAGUCGAUGGGAAACGGGUUAAUAUUCCCGUACUUCUUACAAUUGCGAUGGGGGGACGGAGAAGGCUAGGUGGGCCUGGCGACGGUUGUCCAGGUUCAAGUGCGUAGGCUUAAGAGUUAGGUAAAUCCGGCUCUUUUUAAGGCUGAGACACGACGUCGAGCACCUACGGGUGUGAAGUCAUUGAUGCCAUGCUUCCAGGAAAAGCCUCUAAGCUUCAGAUUGUAAGGAAUCGUACCCCAAACCGACACAGGUGGUCGGGUAGAGAAUACCAAGGCGCUUGAGAGAACUCGGGUGAAGGAACUAGGCAAAAUGGUACCGUAACUUCGGGAGAAGGUACGCUCUUGAUGGUGAAGUCCCUUGCGGAUGGAGCUGACGAGAGUCGCAGAUACCAGGUGGCUGCAACUGUUUAUUAAAAACACAGCACUGUGCAAAAUCGUAAGAUGACGUAUACGGUGUGACGCCUGCCCGGUGCCGGAAGGUUAAUUGAUGGGGUUAGACUUCGGUCGAAGCUCUUGAUCGAAGCCCCGGUAAACGGCGGCCGUAACUAUAACGGUCCUAAGGUAGCGAAAUUCCUUGUCGGGUAAGUUCCGACCUGCACGAAUGGCGUAAUGAUGGCCACGCUGUCUCCACCCGAGACUCAGUGAAAUUGAAAUCGCUGUGAAGAUGCAGUGUACCCGCGGCUAGACGGAAAGACCCCGUGAACCUUUACUACAGCUUGGCACUGAACAUUGACCCUACAUGUGUAGGAUAGGUGGGAGGCUUUGAAGCACGUACGCCAGUAUGUGUGGAGCCGUCCUUGAAAUACCACCCUUGUAGUGUUGAUGUUCUAACGUCGACCCCUAAUCGGGGUUGCGGACAGUGCCUGGUGGGUAGUUUGACUGGGGCGGUCUCCUCCCAAAGAGUAACGGAGGAGCACGAAGGUGGGCUAAUCACGGUUGGACAUCGUGAGGUUAGUGCAAUGGCAUAAGCCCGCUUGACUGCGAGAAUGACAAUUCGAGCAGGUGCGAAAGCAGGUCAUAGUGAUCCGGUGGUUCUGAAUGGAAGGGCCAUCGCUCAACGGAUAAAAGGUACUCCGGGGAUAACAGGCUGAUACCGCCCAAGAGUUCAUAUCGACGGCGGUGUUUGGCACCUCGAUGUCGGCUCAUCACAUCCUGGGGCUGAAGUCGGUCCCAAGGGUAUGGCUGUUCGCCAUUUAAAGUGGUACGCGAGCUGGGUUUAGAACGUCGUGAGACAGUUCGGUCCCUAUCUGCCGUGGGCGUUGGAAGAUUGAAGGGGGCUGCUCCUAGUACGAGAGGACCGGAGUGGACGAACCUCUGGUGUUCGGGUUGUGUCGCCAGACGCAUUGCCCGGUAGCUAAGUUCGGAAUCGAUAACCGCUGAAAGCAUCUAAGCGGGAAGCGAGCCCUGAGAUGAGUCUUCCCUGAUACUUUAAGUAUCCUAAAGGGUUGUCGGAGACUACGACGUUGAUAGGUCAGGUGUGUAAGUGCUGUGAGGCAUUGAGCUAACUGAUACUAAUUGCCCGUGAGGCUUAACCAUACAACACCCAAGGGGUUU